CUUUUUCGUCUGUUCAUGCAUUCAUUGGAAACAAAUGAAUUCUCUGUAACCUGCUAUACAUAACACUGCUGCCAGUAAAUAAAACAUGAGUGAAAUGCGUUCACUUAUUUUCAUAUAUAUGAAUUACAACAUGAUAAAUGUGCUUUUAAAUUCAGUAACACACACUACUCCGUCCUAAAAAGUACUACUCAUAUGUUAUCAUGUAAUAACAAUAAAAAUAUUAGUCAUAUUUUUUUUAAAUAAGACGAAGAAUUAAACAUUCUAUCUAAAAACUGAAAAAUUGACUUAUUUUGAGAUGGAGGUUGUACAUCUACUGCGUCUUGAAUCAGAACAUUAAAACGCAUAGCCAAAAUCCUGCAAAUAUUAGAGUUUGAUCUAUAAAUAUUCAGCUAUAAGGCAAUUGAACUAAUAAGAAGAAUCAAAUAUUUAAACAUUUGAAUAAUUUUUAGCUUUCAUUUCACAUAUCCAUAACAUGAUAUUUUAAAUCAAAUCAUUUAUAUUAACUUUACUUUGAAUUUUGGGACUUUCAUCUGUAGCCACAUUUAAAUAAACAAAUAAAUUAAAGAGGUUACUUUUUUUACCUCUGUUUUCCUAGAAAGGCUAUGUAUUGGCAUUACUUCUUUCCUUUUCUGCUGCAACUAAAUUAAGAGGAGAAAACAUAAAGCAAAUACAAAACUGAAUGGCAGGAUUAUUUUUAGGUCUCACUACACUCUAAGGUGAUACCUUGAGCAACAGACUGUUUUGUACAUCAUUGUUUCCCAUUCUGGCAUAACGACAAAUGGCCAAUAUGAUCGCUUAUAUACAUCUUUUUGCAUAUUUUGAAUUUCAAUUUUUAAAAUUUUCUGUUCUUUUUACUCUGCCAUGCAGACAAAGAUCCCCUUCGGAAGCAUAUUAUGGGUACGGACAUCCCAAACCCAAGAAGCCUCAACCAGUGGUUGCUGAGACCACUAGUAGGCCACACCUCCCAAUUCAGUGUAGUCUCAAACUCUCAUCUACACCUAAGAAACAAGUCGACAUGUCCAUUACAUCUCUACAUAAAUCAUGGUCCUCACUUGAGACGCUCUUUGCUUUGGAGUUUGUUAAUCUAGAACAUGGGAUUUUUUUGUUAGCUCAAUUAUUAUGGAACACGCCAUCCCAAGAUGUGAUCUUGAUCAUAGUGUCUAGAAAUAAUGACGUGUCACUCUCUUACUCUUUUUGAAUAGCAACUAUGACAUUCUAGAUGUCACAAUCUUUUUGAAGACUCACCAUUGGAGCUUCCCUAUUGGUGUGAUGUACUUGUGGCGAUGUUUUUCUCGAAUUGAGUUCUAAUGCACUGAUGAUGGCAUGAUUUUGGUCACUAAUUAGGGCAUAUAGAACAGUGAGACGAUAGUUGUCUAUGCAUCAACACCAGAUUAAUCAUCCUACGUGGUAUCAUUAACUCAACAAAAACUUAGACGCUGUCUCUUUGUUCGUCUACUGCUUGGGUACGUGCUCCUAAGUUGCAUGCAAUGUUUCCUAGAAGAAAACGUCAUGUAUUGGUUGCAUGCAACAAAUACAAGACAUAAAAAAUAGUGUAUUAAAUGUUAUACAGGCAAGCAAGUAGGCUAUCAAUUGUACAAUUUGCAUGUCUGUUUAGCUGUUUGUAUAUAUCAAAUAGACAUCGGUUGUCUAUACCGUUGUACAUGCCUUUACUCUUCGGCGUAAUGUUCUAGAUAGGAUUGAAAUUCGGUCGACGCAAAGAUCGAAGCUGAUUUUGGAGAUUCUCCUUUUCUACUUUGAAGAAGACAAGAACUAUGUACAACUUAUGAGCCAUCGGGAGAAAUAACAGGUGUUGAAGUAAUUUUAAAGAUUACCAUAUUCAAAAAGAGAAACGAGAUGAUGCAUAAGAUAUUACUGAUAAAAGGGGAAUAUCUAUGGACAUGAACUUAUACACAACCUAGUAAGCUCAGGUCUCCUGGUAAGCUGAGAUAGAAGGCAAGGUACUUCUACCGCUCUCUCUAUUUUUUUUUAUUUGACGUCAUUGACUUUUGAGUUUACAUGGAUCAUUUGUUAUAUUCAAAAAUUUUAUAUAAUUAUUAAUUAUUUUAUUAUGAUUUGAUUUAUUACUAAAAACACUUUAAGCAUGGCUUUUAAUUUUGCAUAUUUACACAAAAAAAUUUAACCAGACGAAUGGUUAAAUGUAGAUUCAAAAGUUAAUGCAUCAACAUAGGGAGUACUCUCUAAGAGAAUCUUCAAGAGAAUGGUUAUCUCAUUUGCCAUACUUAAGUUUAGCAAUUUUGCACAAAAAAAUAUCCUCUAAGAGAAUAGCUAUUGACUUGCCAUGCCAUUUGAAUGGCUAAACUUGAGUCCUUGAUGACCAAAUUUGGCAAUUUAUUUUAACACUAGCAAAAUUGCUAUAAGUGGGUCCCAUAUGGGUGGGACCCUCUUGUCAUCCUCCUCUUACCAGGAUUUGGAGAGUGGAGAUGGAGUCUCUUGGAGAUGUUUUCAGAAUUCGAGUUGCCAAGACUAAAAUAAAUGACUAUUUGAAGAGUCAGAAUUUAGCCAUUCUCUUGGAGAUGCUCUAAGACCAGGUUUUCCAACACUAUCAGUAGCUCAGUGGCAAUUAGCAUCAGCAGAAUGCAACAUUAAGGCAACACCGAAGUAAUUCGAAUGUGAUGUCACUGACAGAAGGAGAAUAACUAUGACAAGAAACAAGUGCAGAAUCACUAAGGCCAGAUCUUCAUAGUAGGAUGAGACUUUGCAGACCUUUGCUACAUGUGUCACAGAACAUUUGCCUAAAAUCUAGAGGCACAACUUAUUAGAUGGUUACAUAUAAAAAUAAUGCAAAAACACAUUUAAAAAGGUGUCACCUCUGUUUCAUGAAGACAUGUUAGCUACUCUUGUUUGGCUCACAAAGACUUCAUUUUCUCAACAACUAUUGUAUUACAGUUUGAUAAAGUAGAUGAGUUAAGUGUCUUAUGGUUAAAAGGUAGGAAACAAAUACAUUGGAGUUUGAAAAGGUAAAAAGUCUUUAUAACUUUAUAUAAAUAUCUGUAAGAUUGACAAAAAAACUAAAGUCUUUUUGAAUCGAAGGGUGUAAAUCACAGGCAAACAGAACUGCAGCACUGAUCUCUAUUGUAUACCGGUCAUGAUUCAUCAACUGCUCUACUACCAAAAGGGCAACAAAAGUUCUCACCCUAGCCCUGAUUUGGUAGGGUUGAUGGAUCAGAACCACAACAGGAUAACACCAAACCUUCAAUCCAACCCAUUAAAAGGAAGAGACACCUGAUCACACAAUGCCACCACCCGCCAACAAGUUAGGCCCCCAAUUAGUUCCUAAAACUUUUUGGGAGAGGGGUCACAUCGGCGCGUACGGUUAUAUAUUUGAAGUAUUAAACGUUAGCCUGGAAACUGCGAAACGUAUCUUUUGAGUCUAAUUAAUCCGUCAUUAGCACAUGUUGGUUAUGUAGUACUUAUGGUGAAUCAUGUACUAAUUAGGCUUAAAAGAUUCGUUUCACGAUUUUCCUCGUAACUAUAGAAUUAGUUUUAAUAUUUAUGUAUAUUUAAUACUUUAUUUAUGUGUCUAAAUAUUCGAUGUGAUGUUUAUGGAAAAACUUUUGGAAACUAAACAUGCCUUAUACACAAGAGUAUAUGUCAGCUAGAGAGCAAUCAUAACUGAAAGUCCGAAACAGGGGCAUGGAUCGUCUGUAGUACUGCAUACUGCAGAUUGACAGGUGGGCCAUAUGGUCUUUUGGGCCCACCUGUCAGUCUGCAAUACUGCAUGUGCAGAGGAUCUGAAUUGUCGAAACAGACCUUCACCAAACUCCCUACGGUUUGAUUCAAAGAAGUAUGAUUAAUUGUAACUCAACUUCAGUACACCACACGACAAAAGGAGGUAGUUCAGCAGUUGCAACACGGCGCAUUAACCAUCUAGAUACUAUCGACUGCCCGAAAUUUUUUAUUUUUUAAACCUUUUUAAUAAAUAAUUUUAUUACUAAACCUCAAAGAAAAAUAUUUUCACCGUAUGAACCUUUUAGUCACGCCAGUGUUGGUGGCGUUGCAAAAUAACGCUGUCACGCAGAGAAUUUGGCGUGACAUGCGUGGCAGUGAUAUCUUGCCACGCCAAUAUGGGUGGCGUGGCCAAAAGAUUCAUAUGGUAAAAUAUUUUCUCCCAGGUUUAGUAAUAAAAUUAUUACUAAAAAUGUUUAAAAAAAUAAAAUAAAAAUUAUUGCUACUGCCCUCAUUUCUCCCCCAAAAUAACUACUCCCCUUUAAAAAAAACUAACGCAGUUGUCUGAUUAUUUAUCUUGCCACCACACGUCCAAAGUCUCAACAAUCCCUCCUUCCACAAACGCAUCCUCUGCUCCAGGAACAGCCACCACUCACUAAUGCUAUAAAAGGUAAAAACCCUCCCGACUAACAGUAUGAUUCCUGCAAAUCUGAUUAACUGCAACCCUACUGAGACGAGUAGCAAAACAUUACAUGAUACCCAUACCAUGCCACCGUUUCGUAAACUCUUUCCGAUACGCAGGUCAACUUCUGGCAAGAUGUGUCAUCUCCACUUGUCUGCAAAAGUGCUGCUUUACAUCGUACUCAUUAACAGGGAUUGAUGAAAUGAAUGAUUCAGUCCGAAUGAGUGCUAUAUUGUUUAGUCCAGGUACAUGUCUCAUACAUAAUCCAUUAAAAACCACAGGUCCAUGUUCCAACUGUGACACUGAACAUUAAGAAUGGUAAAACUUAUUAAAAGCUUGGUGGUAUUAAAAACUUUAGUAUCUUGAGUUACUUUCUCAAUUGCUGUAAAAUUUUCCAUAAUUCCAUAGCUGGAGAAAGCAGUCAUGUGUCUGACUUGUUCGGUCAACAGGAGAGAGCACUUAUGGUCAUCUCUGAAACCUAUAAUCAUUACACAUUGAGCGUUACCAACGGAGAACAUUUUUGUAAAGAGCCCUCUCCGAUGCAUUCUACUGGUAGUAUUAUACUACCAGUAGAACUAAUCUUAGUCAUUGAUUAAAAAUGAUAUUUUUAUACUUUGUUAAUUAAUUUAUUAUUAGUAUUUUGUAAUUUUGUUUUUGGCAAUAAAGAUGACAAUAAAAAUAAUAAUAUUAUCCCUUUAAAUUUAUACUACACGCCUAAUAUUGUUGAUAGUAUAAUUUAAUUAUAAUUGUUUGAUAAAAAUAGAUUAAGGAUGCUGAUUAAAUUAUAUUGACAGUAGAAUGUACCGGAGAUGCGCCAUUUUGUACAAACCAACUUGAACUGCAAUUUAUACUUAAGUGAAAAUCAAUUUUUUUUUUUGGUUUGAGGCCAUUGUAAAAUCGAUCUUUUGCCACACAACCGAUGCAAAUUUCAUCGUUAUCCCCAUGUUUAUGAGCCUAUUGAUGUUUGGAAUCACACCAUGUGGCAGAUUAUGAAAAUUUCCAAAUUACACACACCCAUAAACAGUAAUUCGAAGGGCUAUAGGUUCAUAUGGAUUGUGGGAUCUGAAAUCGCCAAGUCCCAAACAAAACGAAAUCCCAAGUCAGUCUCAACACUGACCGGACAAAAUUUCGUGUGACGAAGAAAGCGCAGUGACAGAGAGCUCACCCUCACCAGGUCGGGCAGGCUGCGAUGGGUGCCGCUAGGUCGACGUACCGCGGCGACUCGAACGGAGUUGGAUUUCACCCCUCAGGAUGGAGGAUGGCCACUCCGUCGUGCGGUGGCGCCAUCCCGUCGAACGGCUCCGCCGGCUUACGGCGAUCGGAGACGGCGGGGAGCGGGGUGGGGGUUGGGGCUCGGUGUAAGGUGUUCUUGCGAUGGUUAUAUGGACCUUUUGGGCCGG
RNAcentral lists this long non-coding RNA (5769 nucleotides) under Oryza brachyantha (malo sina). Its description in RNAcentral is "long non-coding RNA (OBRA_LNC001357)". Lineage: Eukaryota; Viridiplantae; Streptophyta; Magnoliopsida; Poales; Poaceae. The record is from RNAcentral.